This 430-nucleotide ribosomal RNA is filed under the name uncultured bacterium. RNAcentral's name for it is "bacterial SSU rRNA". It matches the Rfam family "Bacterial small subunit ribosomal RNA", at positions 335 to 762 of the family's 1533-position model. The record is from RNAcentral.
ACUCCUACGGGAGGCAGCAGUGGAAGUAUUGCACAAUGGGGAAACCUGAUGCAGCCAUGCCGCGUGUGUGAAGAAGGCCUUGGGUUGUAAAGCACUUUCAGUAGGGAGGAAGGUAGUGUAGUUAACACCUGCAUUAUUUGACGUUACCUACAGAAGAAGCACCGGCUAACUCCGUGCCAGCAGCCGCGGUAAUACGGAGGGUGCGAGCGUUAAUCGGAAUUACUGGGCGUAAAGCGCAUGCAGGCGGCCUGUUAAGUCAGAUGUGAAAGCCCGGGGUCUUAACCUCGGAAUUGCAUUUGAAACUGGUAGGCUAGAGUCUUGUAGAGGGGUUAGAAUUUCAGGUGUAGCGGUGAAAUGCGUAGAGAUCUGAAGGAAUACCGAGUGGCGAAGGCGGCCCCUGGACAAAGCUGACGCUCAGAUGCGAAAGCGU